This 460-nucleotide ribosomal RNA is filed under the name uncultured bacterium. RNAcentral's name for it is "partial 16S ribosomal RNA". It matches the Rfam family "Bacterial small subunit ribosomal RNA", at positions 338 to 795 of the family's 1533-position model. The record is from RNAcentral.
CCUACGGGAGGCAGCAGUGAGGAAUAUUGGUCAAUGGACGAGAGUCUGAACCAGCCAAGUCGCGUGAAGGAUGAUUGCCUUUUGGCUUGUAACCUUCUUUUUUAUGGAACUAAAAUGUUCCCCGGUUGGGAUUUUGUAUGUACCUUCUGAAUAAGGUUCGGUUAACUCCGGGCCGGCAGCGGCGGUAUGACGGAGGAUCCGAGCGUUAUCCGGAUUUAUUGGGUUUAAAGGGGGAGUAGGUGGAUUGUUAGGUCAGUGGUGAAAGUUUGCGGCUAAAGGGGAGAAUUGCAGUUGAUACUGGCAGUCUGGAGUACAGUAGAGGUGGGCGGAAUGCGUGGUGUAGCGGUGAAAUGCUUAGAUAUCACGAAGAACACCGAUUGCGAAGGCAGCUCACUGGACCGCAACUGACACUGAGGCACGAAAGUGUGGGUAUCAAACAGGAUUAGAUACCCGAGUAGUC